GACAGAGGGUGCAAACGUUGUUCGGAUUCACUGGGCGUAAAGCGCGUGUAGGCGGCUUCGUAAGUUGGAUGUGAAAUCCCACGGCUCAACCGUGGACGUGCAUCCAAAACUACGUCGCUGGAGUCUCGGAGAGGAAGGUGGAAUGCUUGGUGUAGAGGUGAAAUUCGUAGAUAUCAAGCAGAACACCUGCGGCGAAGGCGGCCUUCUGGACGAUGACUGACGCUGAGACGCGAAAGCGUGGGGAGCAAACAGG
This 253-nucleotide ribosomal RNA is filed under the name uncultured bacterium. RNAcentral describes it as "partial 16S ribosomal RNA". It matches the Rfam family "Bacterial small subunit ribosomal RNA", at positions 524 to 776 of the family's 1533-position model. The record is from RNAcentral.